This 21-nucleotide non-coding RNA is filed under the name Caenorhabditis elegans. The record is from RNAcentral. Lineage: Eukaryota; Metazoa; Nematoda; Chromadorea; Rhabditida; Rhabditidae.
UUAAAAUACUAUUUGAUUCAA